This 496-nucleotide ribosomal RNA is filed under the name uncultured bacterium. RNAcentral's name for it is "partial 16S ribosomal RNA". It matches the Rfam family "Bacterial small subunit ribosomal RNA", at positions 29 to 507 of the family's 1533-position model. The record is from RNAcentral.
AUGCACGCUGGCGGCGUGCCUAAUACAUGCAAGUCGAGCGAACGGACGAGAAGCUUGCUUCUCUGAUGUUAGCGGCGGACGGGUGAGUAACACGUGGAUAACCUACCUAUAAGACUGGGAUAACUUCGGGAAACCGGAUCUAAUACCGGAUGAUAUUUUGAACCGCAUGGUUCAAAAGUGAAAGACGGUCUUGCUGUCACUUAUAGAUGGAUCCGCGCUGCAUUAGCUAGUUGGUAAGGUAACGGCUUACCAAGGCAACGAUGCAUAGCCGACCUGAGAGGGUGAUCGGCCACACUGGAACUGAGACACGGUCCAGACUCCUACGGGAGGCAGCAGUAGGGAAUCUUCCGCAAUGGGCGAAAGCCUGACGGAGCAACGCCGCGUGAGUGAUGAAGGUCUUCGGAUCGUAAAACUCUGUUAUUAGGGAAGAACAUAUGUGUAAGUAACUGUGCACAUCUUGACGGUACCUAAUCAGAAAGCCACGGCUAACUACGUG